CAGCCGCCGCGGUAAUACCGAGGAUGCAAGCGUUAUCCGGAAUGAUUGGGUGUAAAGCGUCUGUAGGUGGCUUUUCAAGUCCGCCAUCAAAUCCCCGGGCUCAACCCUGGACAGGCAGUGGAAACUACCAAGCUGGAGUACGGUAGGGGCAGAGGGAAUUUCCGGUGGAGAGGUGAAAUGCGUUGAGAUUGGAAAGAACACCAACGGUGAAAGCGCUCUGCUGGGCCGACACUGACACUGAGAGACGAAAGCUAGGGGAGCAAAUGGGAUUAGAUACCCCAGUAGUCCCUGUCUCUUAUAC
RNAcentral lists this ribosomal RNA (301 nucleotides) under uncultured bacterium. RNAcentral's name for it is "partial 16S ribosomal RNA". It matches the Rfam family "Bacterial small subunit ribosomal RNA", at positions 509 to 807 of the family's 1533-position model. The record is from RNAcentral.